This 623-nucleotide ribosomal RNA is filed under the name Escherichia coli. Its description in RNAcentral is "partial 23S ribosomal RNA". It matches the Rfam family "Bacterial large subunit ribosomal RNA", at positions 614 to 1238 of the family's 2925-position model. Lineage: Bacteria; Pseudomonadati; Pseudomonadota; Gammaproteobacteria; Enterobacterales; Enterobacteriaceae. The record is from RNAcentral.
AAUGGGUCAGCGACUUAUAUUCUGUAGCAAGGUUAACCGAAUAGGGGAGCCGAAGGGAAACCGAGUCUUAACUGGGCGUUAAGUUGCAGGGUAUAGACCCGAAACCCGGUGAUCUAGCCAUGGGCAGGUUGAAGGUUGGGUAACACUAACUGGAGGACCGAACCGACUAAUGUUGAAAAAUUAGCGGAUGACUUGUGGCUGGGGGUGAAAGGCCAAUCAAACCGGGAGAUAGCUGGUUCUCCCCGAAAGCUAUUUAGGUAGCGCCUCGUGAAUUCAUCUCCGGGGGUAGAGCACUGUUUCGGCAAGGGGGUCAUCCCGACUUACCAACCCGAUGCAAACUGCGAAUACCGGAGAAUGUUAUCACGGGAGACACACGGCGGGUGCUAACGUCCGUCGUGAAGAGGGAAACAACCCAGACCGCCAGCUAAGGUCCCAAAGUCAUGGUUAAGUGGGAAACGAUGUGGGAAGGCCCAGACAGCCAGGAUGUUGGCUUAGAAGCAGCCAUCAUUUAAAGAAAGCGUAAUAGCUCACUGGUCGAGUCGGCCUGCGCGGAAGAUGUAACGGGGCUAAACCAUGCACCGAAGCUGCGGCAGCGACACUGUGUGUUGUUGGGUAGGGGAGCG